AAAUUGAAGAGUUUGAUCAUGGCUCAGAUUGAACGCUGGCGGCAGGCCUAACACAUGCAAGUCGAGCGGUAGCACAGAGAGCUUGCUCUCGGGUGACGAGCGGCGGACGGGUGAGUAAUGUCUGGGAAACUGCCUGAUGGAGGGGGAUAACUACUGGAAACGGUAGCUAAUACCGCAUAACGUCGCAAGACCAAAGUGGGGGACCUUCGGGCCUCAUGCCAUCAGAUGUGCCCAGAUGGGAUUAGCUAGUAGGUGGGGUAAUGGCUCACCUAGGCGACGAUCCCUAGCUGGUCUGAGAGGAUGACCAGCCACACUGGAACUGAGACACGGUCCAGACUCCUACGGGAGGCAGCAGUGGGGAAUAUUGCACAAUGGGCGCAAGCCUGAUGCAGCCAUGCCGCGUGUGUGAAGAAGGCCUUCGGGUUGUAAAGCACUUUCAGCGGGGAGGAAGGCGAUAAGGUUAAUAACCUUGUCGAUUGACGUUACCCGCAGAAGAAGCACCGGCUAACUCCGUGCCAGCAGCCGCGGUAAUACGGAGGGUGCAAGCGUUAAUCGGAAUUACUGGGCGUAAAGCGCACGCAGGCGGUCUGUCAAGUCGGAUGUGAAAUCCCCGGGCUCAACCUGGGAACUGCAUUCGAAACUGGCAGGCUAGAGUCUUGUAGAGGGGGGUGGAAUUCCAGGUGUAGCGGUGAAAUGCGUAGAGAUCUGGAGGAAUACCGGUGGCGAAGGCGGCCCCCUGGACAAAGACUGACGCUCAGGUGCGAAAGCGUGGGGAGCAAACAGGAUUAGAUACCCUGGUAGUCCACGCCGUAAACGAUGUCGAUUUGGAGGUUGUGCCCUUGAGGCGUGGCUUCCGGAGCUAACGCGUUAAAUCGACCGCCUGGGGAGUACGGCCGCAAGGUUAAAACUCAAAUGAAUUGACGGGGGCCCGCACAAGCGGUGGAGCAUGUGGUUUAAUUCGAUGCAACGCGAAGAACCUUACCUGGUCUUGACAUCCACAGAACUUUCCAGAGAUGGAUUGGUGCCUUCGGGAACUGUGAGACAGGUGCUGCAUGGCUGUCGUCAGCUCGUGUUGUGAAAUGUUGGGUUAAGUCCCGCAACGAGCGCAACCCUUAUCCUUUGUUGCCAGCGGUUAGGCCGGGAACUCAAAGGAGACUGCCAGUGAUAAACUGGAGGAAGGUGGGGAUGACGUCAAGUCAUCAUGGCCCUUACGACCAGGGCUACACACGUGCUACAAUGGCAUAUACAAAGAGAAGCGACCUCGCGAGAGCAAGCGGACCUCAUAAAGUAUGUCGUAGUCCGGAUUGGAGUCUGCAACUCGACUCCAUGAAGUCGGAAUCGCUAGUAAUCGUAGAUCAGAAUGCUACGGUGAAUACGUUCCCGGGCCUUGUACACACCGCCCGUCACACCAUGGGAGUGGGUUGCAAAAGAAGUAGGUAGCUUAACCUUCGGGAGGGCGCUUACCACUUUGUGAUUCAUGACUGGGGUGAAGUCGUAACAAGGUAACCGUAGGGGAACCUGCGGUUGGAUCACCUCCUUA
RNAcentral lists this ribosomal RNA (1540 nucleotides) under Klebsiella pneumoniae. Its description in RNAcentral is "bacterial SSU rRNA". It matches the Rfam family "Bacterial small subunit ribosomal RNA". The record is from RNAcentral. Lineage: Bacteria; Pseudomonadati; Pseudomonadota; Gammaproteobacteria; Enterobacterales; Enterobacteriaceae.